UACAGAGGGUGCGAGCGUUAAUCGGAAUUACUGGGCGUAAAGCGUGCGUAGACGGUUAUGUAAGUCAGAUGUGAAAGCCCCGGGCUUAACCUGGGAAUGGCAUUUGAGACUGCAUAGCUAGGAUGCGGAAGAGGGCAGUGGAAUUUCCGGUGUAGCGGUGAAAUGCGUAGAUAUCGGAAGGAACAUCAGUGGCGAAAGCGACUGCCUGGUCCAGCAUCGACGUUCAGGCACGAAAGCGUGGGGAGCAAACAGG
Molecule: ribosomal RNA, 253 nt
Filed under: uncultured bacterium
Lineage: Bacteria
Description: partial 16S ribosomal RNA
Rfam family: Bacterial small subunit ribosomal RNA
Source: RNAcentral